RNAcentral lists this unclassified non-coding RNA (661 nucleotides) under Hevea brasiliensis (rubber tree). The record is from RNAcentral. Lineage: Eukaryota; Viridiplantae; Streptophyta; Magnoliopsida; Malpighiales; Euphorbiaceae.
ACAGAACUGAUUCAGAGGGUCUGCAUCAGCAAGAGACAAUUGAUUCCCUUCCAAAGGCCAUUCGAUCAAGCAUUGCAAACUAUCUCUUCUAUAACUUUGUAAAUGAGGUGUACUUGUUUAAAGGGGUAUCAAAUGACUUACUUUUCCAACUGGUCGCGGAGAUGAAGCCUGAGUACUUUCCUCCCAGAGAAGAUGUGAUUUUGCAGAAUGAAGCACCGACAGACAUGUACAUAUUGAUCACUGGUUCAGUGGAUCUUAUUGUGCCAAAGGGGCCAACAGAGCAGGCUGUUGGAGAGGCAAAGGCAGGAGAUGUUGUUGGUGAGAUUGGUUUGCUUUGUUACAGGCCACAAAUGUUCACAGUUCGGACCAAACGAUUAAGUCAGCUGUUGCGUCUGAACCGUACUGCAUUUUUAAAUAUUGUACAGUCAAGUGUUGGAGAUGGGACGAUAAUUAUGAACAAUCUUCUUCAGCAUUUGAAACAGUUGAACGAUCCAAUGAUGGAAGGAAUUUUGGCAGAAACAGAGCAUAUGUUGGCUCAUGGGAGAAUGGCCCUGCCUCUUAGUUUGUGCUUCGCGGCAAUGAGAGGUGAUGAUCUAUUGUUGCAUCAGUUGCUUAAACGGGGUUCAGAUCCAAAUGAGUUGGAUGACAAUGGGCGGACUGC